GAUGAACGCUGGCGGUAUGCUUAACACAUGCAAGUCGAACGGACUCUUCGGAGUUAGUGGCGGACGGGUGAGUAACGCGUGAGAAUCUGGCUUUGGGUUCGGGACAACUACUGGAAACGGUGGCUAAUACCGGAUGUGCCGAGAGGUAAAAGAGAAAUUGCCUGAAGAUGAGCUCGCGUCUGAUUAGCUAGUUGGUGAGGUAAAGGCUCACCAAGGCAGCGAUCAGUAGCUGGUCUGAGAGGAUGACCAGCCACACUGGGACUGAGACACGGCCCAGACUCCUACGGGGGGCAGCAGUGGGGAAUUUUCCGCAAUGGGCGAAAGACUGACGGAGCAAUACCGCGUGAGGGAAGAAGGCUCUUGGGUUGUAAACCUCUUUUCUUAGGGAAGAACAAAAUGACGGUACCUAAGGAAUCAGCAUCGGCUAACUCCGUG
Molecule: ribosomal RNA, 435 nt
Filed under: uncultured bacterium
Lineage: Bacteria
Description: partial 16S ribosomal RNA
Rfam family: Bacterial small subunit ribosomal RNA
Source: RNAcentral